CCUACGGGAGGCAGCAGUGGGGAAUUUUGCGCAAUGGGGGCAACCCUGACGCAGCAACGCCGCGUGAGUGAUGAAGGCCUUCGGGUCGUAAAGCUCUGUCAGAGGGGAAGAAAUGCAGGUGGUGAACAACCAUUCUGUUUGACGGUACCCUCAAAGGAAGCACCGGCUAACUCCGUGCCAGCAGCCGCGGUAAUACGGAGGGUGCGAGCGUUGUUCGGAAUUAUUGGGCGUAAAGCGCGUGUAGGCGGUUUGUUAAGUCUGAUGUGAAAGCCCCGGGCUCAACCUGGGAAGUGCAUUGGAUACUGGCAGACUUGAGUACGGGAGAGGAGAGUGGAAUUCCCAGUGUAGGAGUAAAAUCCGUAGAUAUUGGGAGGAACACCGGUGGCGAAGGCGGCGUCCUGGACCGUGACUGACGCUGAGGGACGAAAGCCAGGGGAGCAAACGGGAUUAGAUACCCGUGUAGU
This 464-nucleotide ribosomal RNA is filed under the name uncultured Geobacteraceae bacterium. Its description in RNAcentral is "partial 16S ribosomal RNA". It matches the Rfam family "Bacterial small subunit ribosomal RNA", at positions 338 to 794 of the family's 1533-position model. The record is from RNAcentral. Lineage: Bacteria; Pseudomonadati; Thermodesulfobacteriota; Desulfuromonadia; Geobacterales; Geobacteraceae.